GUCUCCAUAGUUUAGUGGUUAGCACGUCUGCUUUACACGCAGAAGGUCCUGGGUUCGUGCCCCAGGUGGAGCUA
Molecule: transfer RNA, 74 nt
Filed under: Pteropus alecto (black flying fox)
Lineage: Eukaryota; Metazoa; Chordata; Mammalia; Chiroptera; Pteropodidae
Rfam family: tRNA
About the family: Transfer RNA (tRNA) molecules are approximately 80 nucleotides in length. Their secondary structure includes four short double-helical elements and three loops (D, anti-codon, and T loops).
Source: Rfam by way of RNAcentral